This 1902-nucleotide long non-coding RNA is filed under the name Nicotiana tabacum (common tobacco). RNAcentral's name for it is "long non-coding RNA (NTAB_LNC013700)". Lineage: Eukaryota; Viridiplantae; Streptophyta; Magnoliopsida; Solanales; Solanaceae. The record is from RNAcentral.
AAUCUUUCAACUAGGUAUUUAAGAUUUAGAAAUGCUGAAAUUUUGCCCCCGUUUCUCCCAUAUUUUUUUUCUCCUCCCUCUCUCUCCUCUCUCUCUUCACUCUCUUUUUCUCCAUAACCGCCGCCCCUCCACCGCCACCGGAAAUCGCCGACCGGCGGCGGACCACCUCCAAACCAUCUCAAAAUUUCACCAUGUAAUCUCCAAUACCUCCUAUUUCCAUAUCUCCAAACAAAAUCCUUCAAAACCCCCUCAACUCCACGAAUUUUAGAUCUAGAAAACCUAGCGCCACUUUUCUUUCUCAAAUUUGUGAAGUUCCGGUCACCACCACCUUACAACACAUACAUAAACGAAUAGAUCUCCUCGAGAUCUACCCUUUCAUACCCAUUCCCCCUCCCCCCCACCCCCAAAAAAAAAUGCACCACCACCGGCCGCCACCUCACCGCCGUUUGUUUCCUCGUCUUUUAUUUUAUUUUUAUUUUUUGAUCCAAAGGCAUUUGUUUCCUUUUGGAAAGACGCCAAAAUUUAUUGGUUUAGCGCUUUCCAAAGAGAAAUAGGUGCCUCGGGGUCGGACAACCACCACUUGGCAUUUUGGCAUUGUCUCGUUAUUCGAUUCGACGUCGGAUUUCCUGUAGUUUGGUAUAAGUUUGCACCCUAAUCUUUUUCCUUUUUUUUAUUCAGAAUUUCUGUUUUGUUUUAUUUUAUUUUAUUUUAUUUAUCUCUGAGUAUAAGUUUUAGUUUUAAUUUUCUGUUUUUCAAUUAGUUUGUUAAGCCAUAAUCGUUAGUUUGAGUUUACUUUCAUUAGCAUUCUUCAAUGUUAGUCGUUGCUUAAUAUUUUCGAAUUAGGUACUUAGUCAUUUGUUUAGGUUGCUACUAAUCGUUUUCCGAUAGUGUAUAAAUAUUUAUUUAAGUUAUAUUUUAGGUAGCAUUUCUUAAUUCCAACCGUCUGUUGUUAUUUUCCAUAAAUCGAUUGGCUUUAGUUUAGUUUGUGUGAAUACCUAGUUUGGGUCCAUUUAAAGUUUCGUCUUUGUUUUGUCAAUUAUAGUUUGUUUGAGUUUGAAUUACAUAACUUGGUAUUAAUAUUUGUAAGAGCUGAAGUUUAUGUUAUUUUAUCACAAAAUAGGGUGCUAGUAGCCUACUUUUACUAGUACGGUGGCUGAAAUGACAUUUUUUCUCCUUGCUUCUGACAUAGCAGAUUUCCUUUCACCUUUUAGACAAAUUUUGAACAGUGUUUAGCACACAAUGUCAGUCCUUGUCGGGAAGACUUUUGGUGAAUCAAAAUCUGUCCAAAAAAGUAAUUUUCUUUGCCUACUUAAGGCCUGCCCUUUCCUCACUUUAGGGGGACUCAAUCAGAUAUUUGUUGGACAAAUUUUACACCCAAAAAAAAACAUUUUGAGAGUGAAAAAUCAGCAACUAAAGCACCCUUUAGUAAGCUGAAAUGGUGAGCUUUAUGAGUAAAUUUUAGAGUGCAAACUUUUAGAAAAAUAUAAGUCUUCUUUAGAGUUGAUUCUGGGUUUAUUCUCUAAGGUUUUCGAGUUGUUUUAAACACGAAACUGCUGUUGUUUUCUACUGUGCUUUUUUUCUUUGCGGAGCUCCAUUUUUCACUGCUAUAUUUAUUUUCUGCAAUUCAGGUAUUUCUCAAAUUUUGCAAUGCAGAUUUUUAUAUCCAAUGGAUGAGAAUAUGAGUCUCUUCCAGCUCAUAGGAUAUGCUCGAUGUGCUUUACUGGAAUGAAUGAAUAUUUAGCGUGUUACUUAUGUUUAAAGCAUGUACAUCUAUAAUAUUUGGUUAAUCUUCCAUUUUUCUUCACAUAUGUAGCUCAAACAACAUUAUGUGAAGUUUAUCUAGUUAAGGAAAAGAAACAUUUUGUUUUCCAGAAAUAUUUAUAUGUAGAUGUUUAGUUUCUU